UAACGCUAUUUUAGAGAAGGAGGU
This 24-nucleotide non-coding RNA is filed under the name Arabidopsis thaliana (thale cress). The record is from RNAcentral. Lineage: Eukaryota; Viridiplantae; Streptophyta; Magnoliopsida; Brassicales; Brassicaceae.